AUUCACUUGAAUACUAUGCAUUCAACAUGAAAGCAACUGUUGAAGAUGAGAAACAUCAAGGCAAGAUCAAUGAUGAGGACAAACAGAAGAUUCUUGACAUGUGUAAUGAAAUUAUAAACUGGCUUGAUAAGAACCAGACUGCAGAGAAGGAAGAAUCUGAACGUCAGCAGAAGGAGCUGGAGAAAGUCUGCAACCCUAUCAUCACCAAGCUGUACCAGAGUGCAGGAGGCAUGCCAGGAGGAAUGUCUGGGGGCUUCCCAGGUGGUGGAGCUCCUCCUCCUGGUGGUGUUUCCUCAGGCCCCACCAUUGAAGAGGUUGAUUAAGCCAACCCAAGCAUAGAUGCAGCAGUGUUCCACACA
Non-coding RNA from Microcebus murinus (gray mouse lemur), 359 nucleotides. NCBI's taxonomy places the organism in Eukaryota, Metazoa, Chordata, Mammalia, Primates, Cheirogaleidae. The record is from RefSeq and is a predicted model, not a curated record.